This 734-nucleotide ribosomal RNA is filed under the name uncultured bacterium. RNAcentral's name for it is "bacterial SSU rRNA". It matches the Rfam family "Bacterial small subunit ribosomal RNA", at positions 51 to 803 of the family's 1533-position model. The record is from RNAcentral.
AAGCAGUUAAGUUGAUUUCUUCGGAUUGAUUCUUAACUGACUGAGCGGCGGACGGGUGAGUAACGCGUGGGUGACCUGCCCCGUACCGGGGGAUAACAGCUGGAAACGGCUGCUAAUACCGCAUAAGCGCACAGAGCUGCAUGGCUCGGUGUGAAAAACUCCGGUGGUAUGGGAUGGGCCCGCGUCUGAUUAGGCAGUUGGCGGGGUAACGGCCCACCAAACCGACGAUCAGUAGCCGGCCUGAGAGGGCGACCGGCCACAUUGGGACUGAGACACGGCCCAAACUCCUACGGGAGGCAGCAGUGGGGAAUAUUGCACAAUGGGGGAAACCCUGAUGCAGCGACGCCGCGUGAGCGAAGAAGUAUUUCGGUAUGUAAAGCUCUAUCAGCAGGGAAGAUAAUGACGGUACCUGACUAAGAAGCCCCGGCUAACUACGUGCCAGCAGCCGCGGUAAUACGUAGGGGGCAAGCGUUAUCCGGAUUUACUGGGUGUAAAGGGAGCGUAGACGGCAAGGCAAGUCUGAUGUGAAAACCCAGGGCUUAACCCUGGGACUGCAUUGGAAACUGUCUGGCUCGAGUGCCGGAGAGGUAAGCGGAAUUCCUAGUGUAGCGGUGAAAUGCGUAGAUAUUAGGAAGAACACCAGUGGCGAAGGCGGCUUACUGGACGGUAACUGACGUUGAGGCUCGAAAGCGUGNGGAGCAAACAGGAUUAGAUACCCUGGUAGUCCACNCCGU